This 496-nucleotide long non-coding RNA is filed under the name Manihot esculenta (cassava). RNAcentral's name for it is "long non-coding RNA (MESC_LNC003389)". The record is from RNAcentral. Lineage: Eukaryota; Viridiplantae; Streptophyta; Magnoliopsida; Malpighiales; Euphorbiaceae.
CUUUCGGGAGCAUUCUUGCUCCUCCGAGUAAAAAAACCUUUCCCAACUGGAGGUGAGUUUGCACUUCCCAUAGUUGGGUGAGAUGUAAAUAUCCCUUAUUUUGUUUAUUUUUUACAGUAAUGCUUAUGGUGGAGAGUUUUUUAUUAGGCUGCUUGUGUUUCUUUCUUUGUGCUGUUUGUUUUUUUUUUCUUCUUUUCAGGUUUGUCAGGUCUCAAUCUUUGGCGCUCCAAUGGUAUUCUUCCAGCGAGUUGAGGCAGUGGCUCAGCUUUUCUGUUGGGUUGCAUGUUGCUUCCGUUUUCUCCUAAUUUGGAUGAUGGUCUCCUCAUUUCUUUUCAUCGGUUCCUUUCUAGUUUUUGUAUAAAUCGGUUUGUAAAGUGCUUUCGAUUGUUUGCCUCUUCUCCUACCUUUUGAUGAGUUGCAUCUUAUCUCUCUUGACCAUAAGUACAAUGAUUGUCUCAAUUGGGAGAUUGAAUCAUCAUUUCUCUGCAAUGGCUCC